AGAGGGUGCGAGCGUUAAUCGGAAUGACUGGGCGUAAAGGGCGUAUAGGUGGAAGUACAAGUCAAAGGUGAAAUCCCCGGGCUUAGCCUGGGAACUGCCUUUGAAACUGUGCAUCUAGAGUAUAGGAGAGGAAAGUGGAAUUUCCGGUGUAGCGGUGAAAUGCGUAGAUAUCGGAAGGAACACCAGUGGCGAAGGCGGCUUUCUGGCCUAAUACUGACACUGAGGCGCGAAAGCGUGGGGAGCGAACAGGAUUAGAUACCCUGGUAGUCCACGCUGUAAACGAUGAGAACUAGAUGUUGGCUGGCUAAGACCAGUUAGUAUCGUAGCUAACGCGUUAAGUUCUCCGCUGGGGAUCGACCGCAAGGUU
This 367-nucleotide ribosomal RNA is filed under the name uncultured organism. RNAcentral's name for it is "partial 16S ribosomal RNA". It matches the Rfam family "Bacterial small subunit ribosomal RNA", at positions 527 to 895 of the family's 1533-position model. The record is from RNAcentral.